Ornithorhynchus anatinus (platypus) is the source of this 138-nucleotide small nucleolar RNA. The record is from RefSeq and is a predicted model, not a curated record. NCBI's taxonomy places the organism in Eukaryota, Metazoa, Chordata, Mammalia, Monotremata, Ornithorhynchidae.
GCCCUCUUAGGGUCACACCUGGAGAGUUUCCAGUAAUCUUCCAGUCUCGAUUAUGAGAGGGAGAGUCAAGUAGAGGCCUGUCCGUUCCAUUUCUAGCUUGGGCAGUGGCUAGUGAGUGGAAGACAAACUGCUAUAAGU